Molecule: ribosomal RNA, 424 nt
Filed under: uncultured Oribacterium sp.
Lineage: Bacteria; Bacillati; Bacillota; Clostridia; Lachnospirales; Lachnospiraceae
Description: bacterial SSU rRNA
Rfam family: Bacterial small subunit ribosomal RNA
Source: RNAcentral
CCUACGGGCGGCAGCAGUGGGGGAUAUUGCACAAUGGGCGCAAGCCUGAUGCAGCGACGCCGCGUGGGGGAUGACGGCUUUCGGGUUGUAAACCUCUUUCGUCGGGGGACAAGGCUCUGCUUGGUGGUGGGGUUGAGGGUACCCGGUGAAGAAGCGCCGGCUAACUACGUGCCAGCAGCCGCGGUAAUACGUAGGGCGCGAGCGUUGUCCGGAAUUAUUGGGCGUAAAGGGCUCGUAGGCGGCUUGUCGCGUCUGCUGUGAAAAUGCGGGGCUUAACUCCGUACGUGCAGUGGGUACGGGCAGGCUAGAGUGCGGUAGGGGUGACUGGAAUUCCUGGUGUAGCGGUGGAAUGCGCAGAUAUCAGGAGGAACACCGAUGGCGAAGGCAGGUCACUGGGCUGUUACUGACGCUGAGGAGCGAAAGC